GACGAACGCUGGCGGCGUGCUUAACACAUGCAAGUCGAACGGAAAGGCCCUGCUUUUUUGGGGUUCUCGAGUGGCGAACGUGUGAGUAACAUGUGAGUAACCUGCCCUUUACUUUGUGAUAACUUCAGGAAACUGGUGCUAAUACCGGCUAGGAGCUCCUGCUGCAUGGUGGGGUUUGGAAAGUUUCGGCGGUUGGGGAUGGACUCGCGGCUUAUUAGCUUGUUGGUGGGGUAGUGGCUUACCAAGGCUUUGACGGGUAGCCGGCCUGAGAGGGUGACCAGCCACAUUGGGACUGAGAUACGGCGCAGACUCCUACGGGAGGCAGCAGUGGAGAAUAUUGCACAAUGGGCGGAAGCCUGAUGCAGCAACGCCGCGUGCGGGAUGACGGCCUUCGGGUUGUAAACCGCUUUCGCCUGUGACGAAGCGUGAGUGACGGUAAUAGGUAAAGAAGCACCGGCUAACUACGUG
This 468-nucleotide ribosomal RNA is filed under the name uncultured bacterium. Its description in RNAcentral is "partial 16S ribosomal RNA". It matches the Rfam family "Bacterial small subunit ribosomal RNA", at positions 28 to 507 of the family's 1533-position model. The record is from RNAcentral.